This 255-nucleotide ribosomal RNA is filed under the name uncultured bacterium. RNAcentral's name for it is "partial 16S ribosomal RNA". It matches the Rfam family "Bacterial small subunit ribosomal RNA", at positions 524 to 776 of the family's 1533-position model. The record is from RNAcentral.
UACAGAGGGUGCGAGCGUUGUCCGGAAUCACUGGGCGUAAAGGGCGCGUAGGCGGCGGGAGAAGUCUGUGGUGAAAGCUCGUGGCUCAACUACGAGUCGGCCAUAGAUACUCUUUCGCUCGAGCACUGUAGAGGCAGAUGGAAUUCCGGGUGUAGCGGUGGAAUGCGUAGAGAUCCGGAAGAACACCGGUGGCGAAGGCGGUCUGCUGGGCAGUAGCUGGACGCUGAGGCGCGACAGCGUGGGGGAGCAAACAGG